RNAcentral lists this ribosomal RNA (507 nucleotides) under uncultured bacterium. RNAcentral describes it as "partial 16S ribosomal RNA". It matches the Rfam family "Bacterial small subunit ribosomal RNA", at positions 28 to 507 of the family's 1533-position model. The record is from RNAcentral.
GACGAACGCUGGCGGCGUGCCUAAUACAUGCAAGUCGAACGCAUUUUCUUUCACCGUAGCUUGCUACACCGAAAGAAAAUGAGUGGCGAACGGGUGAGUAACACGUGGGUAACCUGCCCAUCAGCGGGGGAUAACACUUGGAAACAGGUGCUAAUACCGCAUAAUUCCAUUUACUGCAUGGUAGAUGGAUGAAAGGCGCUUUUGCGUCACUGAUGGAUGGACCCGCGGUGCAUUAGCUAGUUGGUGGGGUAACGGCCUACCAAGGCUGCGAUGCAUAGCCGACCUGAGAGGGUGAUCGGCCACACUGGGACUGGGACACGGCCCAGACUCCUACGGGAGGCAGCAGUAGGGAAUCUUCGGCAAUGGACGCAAGUCUGACCGAGCAACGCCGCGUGAGUGAAGAAGGUUUUCGGAUCGUAAAACUCUGUUGUUAGAAAAGAACAAGGAUGAGAGUGGAAAGUUCAUCCCUUGACGGUAUCUAACCAGAAAGCCCCGGCUAACUACGUG